This 754-nucleotide ribosomal RNA is filed under the name uncultured cyanobacterium. RNAcentral describes it as "bacterial SSU rRNA". It matches the Rfam family "Bacterial small subunit ribosomal RNA", at positions 28 to 824 of the family's 1533-position model. The record is from RNAcentral. Lineage: Bacteria; Bacillati; Cyanobacteriota.
GAUGAACGCUGGCGGUAUGCUUAACACAUGCAAGUCGAACGGACACUUUCGGGUGUUAGUGGCGGACGGGUGAGUAACGCGUGAGAAUCUGCCUUUAGGUUCGGGACAACCAUUGGAAACGAUGGCUAAUACCGGAUAUGCAGCAAUGUGAAAGAUAUAUUGCCUAAAGAUGAGCUCGCGUCUGAUUAGCUAGUUGGUGGGGUAAAGGCCUACCAAGGCGACGAUCAGUAACUGGUCUGAGAGGAUGAUCAGUCACACUGGAACUGAGACACGGUCCAGACUCCUACGGGAGGCAGCAGUGGGGAAUUUUCCGCAAUGGGCGAAAGCCUGACGGAGCAAUACCGCGUGAGGGAGGAAGGCUCUUGGGUUGUAAACCUCUUUUCUUAGGGAAGAACAAAAUGACGGUACCUAAGGAAUAAGCAUCGGCUAACUCCGUGCCAGCAGCCGCGGUAAUACGGAGGAUGCAAGCGUUAUCCGGAAUGAUUGGGCGUAAAGCGUCCGCAGGUGGUUUUGUAAGUCUAUUGUUAAAGCGUCUGGCUCAACCAGAUAAUGGCGGUGGAAACUACAAGACUAGAGUCCGUUCGGGGCAGAGGGAAUUCCUGGUGUAGCGGUGAAAUGCGUAGAGAUCAGGAAGAACACCGGUGGCGAAAGCGCUCUGCUAGGCCGGAACUGACACUGAGGGACGAAAGCUAGGGGAGCGAAUGGGAUUAGAUACCCCAGUAGUCCUAGCCGUAAACGAUGGAUACUAGGCGUG